This 825-nucleotide ribosomal RNA is filed under the name Halomonas sp. RHS-str.308. Its description in RNAcentral is "bacterial SSU rRNA". It matches the Rfam family "Bacterial small subunit ribosomal RNA", at positions 70 to 892 of the family's 1533-position model. Lineage: Bacteria; Pseudomonadati; Pseudomonadota; Gammaproteobacteria; Oceanospirillales; Halomonadaceae. The record is from RNAcentral.
UAACAGGGGUAGCUUGCUACCCGCUGACGAGCGGCGGACGGGUGAGUAAUGCAUAGGAAUCUGCCCGAUAGUGGGGGAUAACCUGGGGAAACCCAGGCUAAUACCGCAUACGUCCUACGGGAGAAAGGGGGCUUUGGCUCCCGCUAUUGGAUGAGCCUAUGUCGGAUUAGCUAGUUGGUAAGGUAAUGGCUUACCAAGGCAACGAUCCGUAGCUGGUCUGAGAGGAUGAUCAGCCACAUCGGGACUGAGACACGGCCCGAACUCCUACGGGAGGCAGCAGUGGGGAAUAUUGGACAAUGGGGGCAACCCUGAUCCAGCCAUGCCGCGUGUGUGAAGAAGGCCCUCGGGUUGUAAAGCACUUUCAGCGAGGAAGAACGCCUGUCGGUUAAUACCCGGUAGGAAAGACAUCACUCGCAGAAGAAGCACCGGCUAACUCCGUGCCAGCAGCCGCGGUAAUACGGAGGGUGCAAGCGUUAAUCGGAAUUACUGGGCGUAAAGCGCGCGUAGGUGGCUUGAUAAGCCGGUUGUGAAAGCCCCGGGCUCAACCUGGGAACGGCAUCCGGAACUGUCAGGCUAGAGUGCAGGAGAGGAAGGUAGAAUUCCCGGUGUAGCGGUGAAAUGCGUAGAGAUCGGGAGGAAUACCAGUGGCGAAGGCGGCCUUCUGGACUGACACUGACACUGAGGUGCGAAAGCGUGGGUAGCAAACAGGAUUAGAUACCCUGGUAGUCCACGCCGUAACGAUGUCGACCAGCCGUUGGGUGCCUAGAGCACUUUGUGGCGAAGUUAACGCGAUAAGUCGACCGCCUGGGGGAGUACGGCCGCAAG